This 253-nucleotide ribosomal RNA is filed under the name uncultured bacterium. RNAcentral's name for it is "partial 16S ribosomal RNA". It matches the Rfam family "Bacterial small subunit ribosomal RNA", at positions 524 to 776 of the family's 1533-position model. The record is from RNAcentral.
CACGUAGGCACCAAGCGUUGUCCGGAAUUAUUGGGCGUAAAGAGCUCGUAGGCGGUCUGUCGCGUCGAAUGUGAAAACCCGGGGCUCAACUCCGGGCUUGCAUUCGAUACGGGCAGGCUAGAGUUCGGUAGGGGAGUCUGGAAUUCCUGGUGUAGCGGUGAAAUGCGCAGAUAUCAGGAGGAACACCGGUGGCGAAGGCGGCCUGCUGGGCUGUUGCUGACGCUGAGGCGCGACAGCGUGGGGAGCAAACAGG